This 394-nucleotide ribosomal RNA is filed under the name uncultured bacterium. RNAcentral's name for it is "bacterial SSU rRNA". It matches the Rfam family "Bacterial small subunit ribosomal RNA", at positions 30 to 418 of the family's 1533-position model. The record is from RNAcentral.
AUUGAACGCUGGCGGCAUGCCUUACACAUGCAAGUCGAACGGCAGCAUGGAGGAGCUUGCUCCUCUGAUGGCGAGUGGCGAACGGGUGAGUAAAGCAUCGGAACGUACCGUGUAGUGGGGGGAUAACGUAGCGAAAGUUACGCUAAUACCGCAUACGCACUGAGGUGGAAAGCAGGGGAUCGCAAGACCUUGCGCUAUACGAGCGGCCGAUGUCAGAUUAGCUAGUUGGUAGGGUAAAGGCCUACCAAGGCGACGAUCUGUAGCGGGUCUGAGAGGAUGAUCCGCACACUGGGACUGAGACACGGCCCAGACUCCUACGGGAGGCAGCAGUGGGGAAUUUUGGACAAUGGGGGAAACCCUGAUCCAGCCAUGCCGCGUGAGUGAAGAAGGCCUC